CGUUCCCGGGCCUUGUACACACCGCCCGUCACACCAUGGGAGUUGGUUUUACCUGAAGACGGUGUGCCAACCGUAAGGGGGCAGCCGGCCACGGUAAGGUCAGCGACUGGGGUG
RNAcentral lists this ribosomal RNA (114 nucleotides) under uncultured bacterium. RNAcentral's name for it is "partial 16S ribosomal RNA". It matches the Rfam family "Bacterial small subunit ribosomal RNA", at positions 1369 to 1482 of the family's 1533-position model. The record is from RNAcentral.